UCAUUUCAUAUUUAUUUUGUAUAGAGUUAGUUACGAAUUUGAGAUCGCUAAAUAUAUUUUUAUAAAGUUCAUUUUUCUUUCAACAAAAAGUUAUUCUACGAGGUGCGAAUAUGCAAAGCGAGGAGAAACGUUUUUUGAACUUUUUGGAAACAUUCCAGGGCUGCAAUUCGCAUUUAACAGCAGUUCAGGCUGCUAGAAUUGGCAGAGCCGCGUGGGACUCUCUGACGGCCGAAGAAAAAUCGAUUUACCAACCAGUAAGACCGGUAAGACCGGGAAGACCACCCGCGAAGAGUCCCGAGAACGUUGUUCCGGAUUGUGGCCCUAGUGCAAAGAAGAAGAAAAAUAAAUGUCUCACGAAGAAGAAGAAGCCUGUAUGUAAGUCAAAGCUGAGCCCUAAGCCAAAAACAAAGCGCAAGGCCGGCAAGAAGCGGAAAAAACGCUUAUGCCAUUAAUAUCAACUUUUUUAGACUGGACAUCAAAAUUAUACUAUUGUGUAAGGUGGAAACUUGAAUCCAGUCUGUAGAACCAGUAACAAUUUCCACAUCUCGUGCUAUUCCUAAAUAAUUCUUAACAUGGUUAAGGUCACAACUCUUGAAACUCCAUAUAAUCCUUGCUCCACUCAAAUCCUUUUUAUUCCAAUUCCUUAAAUAAAAUAAGAAGAAGCGAUCCAAAAUACGUAUAUGUACGUAUAUGUUAUGUCAUUAAUUCAACUGUUUUACAGCUGGUAUAAACAUUUACAGCUUCCAUAGCUUUCACAGCAAAUUAACAGAACUCUAUGUCAGAACAGUUAGGACGUAAAGGUCAAUCAAUUGAACAAAUUAGAUCAGUUGACUAAUGAACACUGACUCUGAGC
Teleopsis dalmanni is the source of this 853-nucleotide long non-coding RNA. RefSeq lists it as uncharacterized. The record is from RefSeq and is a predicted model, not a curated record. The transcript is spliced from 3 exons. Lineage: Eukaryota; Metazoa; Arthropoda; Insecta; Diptera; Diopsidae.